Molecule: non-coding RNA, 73 nt
Organism: Trichonephila clavipes
Lineage: Eukaryota; Metazoa; Arthropoda; Arachnida; Araneae; Nephilidae
Source: the annotation of a GenBank genome assembly
GUCCUUGUAGCACAAUGGACUGUGAAUUGGAUUUCUAAUCCAAAUGUCGUGGGUUCAAAUCCCACCUGGGAUG